UACAGAGGGUGCGAGCGUUGUCCGGAAUCACUGGGCGUAAAGGGCGCGUAGGUGGUGGCUUAAGCGUGCGGUGAAAGCUCGGGGGCUCAACCCCGAGUCGGCCGUGCGAACUGGGCUCACUGGAGCAUAGUAGAGGCAGGUGGAAUUCCGGGUGUAGCGGUGGAAUGCGUAGAGAUCCGGAAGAACACCGGUGGCGAAGGCGGCCUGCUGGGCUAUGGCUGACACUGAGGCGCGACAGCGUGGGGGAGCAAACAGG
Molecule: ribosomal RNA, 256 nt
Filed under: uncultured bacterium
Lineage: Bacteria
Description: partial 16S ribosomal RNA
Rfam family: Bacterial small subunit ribosomal RNA
Source: RNAcentral